Molecule: ribosomal RNA, 428 nt
Filed under: uncultured bacterium
Lineage: Bacteria
Description: bacterial SSU rRNA
Rfam family: Bacterial small subunit ribosomal RNA
Source: RNAcentral
GUCGAGAAUCUUCCGCAAUGCGCGAAAGCGUGACGGAGCGACACCGCGUGAUGGAUGAAGUCCUUCGGGGCGUAAACAUCUUUUAUAAAGGAGGAAAUUUUUGACGUUACUUUAUGAAUAAGGGGCUCCCAAUCUCGUGCCAGCAGGAGCGGUAAUACGAGAGCCUCAAGCGUUAUCCGGAAUCAUUGGGCGUAAAGGGUGCGUAGGUGGUUUGAUUAGUCUCCCGUUAAAACUUCGAGCUUAACUCGAAAAGAGCGGGGGAAACGGUCAAACUAGAGUAUGUGAGAGGUGUGUGGAACUCAUGGUGUAGGGGUGAAAUCCAUUGAUAUCAUGGGGAACACCAAAAGCGAAGGCAGCACACUGGCACAUCACUGACACUGAGGCACGAAACCUAAGGUAGCGAAUGGGAUUAGAUACCCGAGUAGUCC